AAUUUGUUUCUUAAUUAGAUAAUAGUAUGAACGAAUGCCCCCCUUAUAAAUUUAUUAUAAAGGGAAUUACUCAAAUUAAAAUUUUGAUGAAAAUUUCAAAAUCUAAAACCUAGACGAUAAGACCCUAUGAAGCUUAACUAAAAAGGCCAAACCUUUUAUGCCUUCUCCUUAUUGGUUUAAUUGGGGCAAUGGUUAAUAAAAAUAUUAUAACACUGUUUAAUUUUAUAGAUCCUAAAGGGACCUUAUGAGUAAGCUACUCUAGGGAUAACAGCACCAUAGUUAAAAAAGUUCUUAUUAGAAUAACUGU
This 307-nucleotide ribosomal RNA is filed under the name Metridia lucens. Its description in RNAcentral is "partial 16S rRNA". Lineage: Eukaryota; Metazoa; Arthropoda; Copepoda; Calanoida; Metridinidae. The record is from RNAcentral.